AGAGUUUGAUCCUGGCUCAGAUUGAACGCUGGCGGCAUGCCUAACACAUGCAAGUCGAACGGAAACGAUGGGAGCUUGCUCCCAGGCGUCGAGUGGCGGACGGGUGAGUAAUACUUAGGAAUCUACCCAGUAGCGGGGGACAACUCGAGGAAACUCGAGCUAAUACCGCAUACGCCCUACGGGGGAAAGCGGAGGACUCUUCGGAGCUUCGCACUAUUGGAUGAGCCUAAGUCGGAUUAGCUUGUUGGUGAGGUAAAGGCUCACCAAGGCGACGAUCCGUAGCUGGUCUGAGAGGACGAUCAGCCACACUGGGACUGAGACACGGCCCAGACUCCUACGGGAGGCAGCAGUGGGGAAUAUUGGACAAUGGGGGCAACCCUGAUCCAGCAAUGCCGCGUGUGUGAAGAAGGCCUGCGGGUUGUAAAGCACUUUCAGUAGAGAAGAAAAGCUUAGGGAUAAUACCCCUGGGUCUUGACGUUACCUACAGAAGAAGCUCCGGCUAACUCCGUGCCAGCAGCCGCGGUAAUACGGAGGGAGCGAGCGUUAAUCGGAAUUACUGGGCGUAAAGCGCGCGUAGGCGGCUUUGUAAGUCGGAUGUGAAAGCCCUGGGCUCAACCUGGGAAUUGCAUUCGAUACUGCAUGGCUAGAGUAUGGUAGAGGGAAGUGGAAUUUCCGGUGUAGCGGUGAAAUGCGUAGAUA
This 699-nucleotide ribosomal RNA is filed under the name uncultured bacterium. Its description in RNAcentral is "bacterial SSU rRNA". It matches the Rfam family "Bacterial small subunit ribosomal RNA", at positions 8 to 696 of the family's 1533-position model. The record is from RNAcentral.